GGCUGAGUUUGUCACUGAAGCAACACAUUGUUUACUGAACUUGCAUUCCUAAGUAACAUGAUAGCUAAUGUCUAAAUAAUUUAACCACAGCAGAGCAGGUGCCAUAAGGCUCACUGCAUUUUUUUCAAGUCCAUUUCUAGAACUGAUGUGUCACCUCAAAAACAUGGUAGUGGCCAGGCUACUGCUCAGCCUAGGAGGAUUUUCCUAUUUCAGGGAAUUAUUACAGUGCUGUGGCAAAAUGCACUUGAUGAUUAUUCACUUUUACUGUGAAGUCCCUAAACCACUAUGGAAGCCUUUAGGAUCAAAUGCCUUUCCUCAUGCUCUUGUCGUCCUGUCCUGAAUAGCUGUUGGUGUUUGGGGCUCAUCAGGUACCCCUUGGACUGAAUGUUUGAUGAGUUUCAGACACGUCCACUCUUUCCAUCCCAUGACCAUUUGCAGGGUGAACUGAAGCACAGCAAGAGGAGGCAGCUGGCAGAGUCACUCCUGACCUGGGCUUAAAUGCAAAUAGCCUCAAAUUAGGAAAGCUAUUCCACGAGUUUGUCUUGUGCAUCUGACCCCAGCGACCAUCCAGUCAGAUGUGUGGAGCAGAGAAGUUAAAGUCUUUAAAAAUGCGUGUCAUGUCAGAGCUGAGCCCUCAGCACCGAGCAUUGUUCUCUGCAGCUCUGCUCUUCCUGAGCUGCACUGUCUGCCUGUGCAGACACAGCCACCGGCAGCAGAGCAGGAAAAGGAGUCUUCACUUGUCUCCAUAGAGGUUGGAAGAGUCACUCUGAAUAGUUUUGCAUAAAAGCACAGCCUGCUGCAGAGCAGGCUCAAGCUUCUGUGGCGUUCGCUCCCAGUAAUCUGCCGCUUGGAGCAGGAUGUGUGGGCUUUGCUGUGGAGUGCUCAGGGAUGCUCUUCUCCUCUCCUCUCACUGAAGACAAAGUAAUACUCCAUGGAGCUAUAAAAUGUGCAUAGUCUUUUACCCAUGAAUGGUAAGUUAUUUGGGAUCAGUGCUUUCAGUACUUCCCAGAAGCCAUAUAAUUUUCCUUGAUAAUCACUGUUUAACAGCUAUGCUUCCCUACACAAAUUUAAUUUCAAUUUUCCCCCCACAGUUGUAGUAAUUUUAAAUGUGUGGCUGUAAUUAGCUGAAAUACGAACUGUGAAUUGAGUUUGACACCAUUCUUUCAGCACCAUUUUAAUGAAGGGUUAAAUAUUCUUCAUCUUUUCUGAAGUCUAAGUUUAGUGAAGUAGCUACCCAUCAAUCAAAGGUUCACGUCUGCUUUCCAUUACCUUUCCAGUCAUAUUCUGUUAGGCUUCUUUCACCAUUUCAGUAUCCAGGAGCCUGGCAACUAGACACUAACUGAUGCAGCUCACAUCUGUCGUGUCUGGCUCAUUCCUUCUCCUAUUCCCAAGGUGAUAAUUGCAUCAUCUUUGUAGUAUUUUAUUUUGUUGCCCUUUUUUAUUGU
Molecule: long non-coding RNA, 1445 nt
Organism: Prinia subflava (tawny-flanked prinia)
Lineage: Eukaryota; Metazoa; Chordata; Aves; Passeriformes; Cisticolidae
Exons: 4
Source: RefSeq, a predicted model, not a curated record